GACGAACGCUGGCGGCGCGCCUAACACAUGCAAGUCGAACGAGCGAGAGAGAGCUUGCUUUCUUGAGCGAGUGGCGAACGGGUGAGUAACGCGUGAGGAACCUGCCUCAAAGAGGGGGACAACAGUUGGAAACGACUGCUAAUACCGCAUAAGCCCACGGUGCCGCAUGGCACGGAGGGAAAAGGAGCAAUCCGCUUUGAGAUGGCCUCGCGUCCGAUUAGCUAGUUGGUGAGGUAACGGCCCACCAAGGCGACGAUCGGUAGCCGGACUGAGAGGUUGAACGGCCACAUUGGGACUGAGACACGGCCCAGACUCCUACGGGAGGCAGCAGUGGGGAAUAUUGCACAAUGGGGGAAACCCUGAUGCAGCGACGCCGCGUGGAGGAAGAAGGUCUUCGGAUUGUAAACUCCUGUUGUUGGGGAAGAUAAUGACGGUACCCAACAAGGAAGUGACGGCUAACUACGUG
This 466-nucleotide ribosomal RNA is filed under the name uncultured bacterium. Its description in RNAcentral is "partial 16S ribosomal RNA". It matches the Rfam family "Bacterial small subunit ribosomal RNA", at positions 28 to 507 of the family's 1533-position model. The record is from RNAcentral.